GGCAGCAUGGUGUAGUGGUUUGAGUGUUGGACUUGGACUCUGAGAGAUCUGGGUUCAAAUCCCUGCUCCGCCA
Phrynosoma platyrhinos (Desert horned lizard) is the source of this 73-nucleotide non-coding RNA. The record is from the annotation of a GenBank genome assembly. NCBI's taxonomy places the organism in Eukaryota, Metazoa, Chordata, Lepidosauria, Squamata, Phrynosomatidae.